GAUGAACGCUGGCGGCGUGCCUAAUACAUGCAAGUCGAGCGAACAGAUGAGGAGCUUGCUCCUCUGACGUUAGCGGCGGACGGGUGAGUAACACGUGGAUAACCUACCUAUAAGACUGGGAUAACUUCGGGAAACCGGAGCUAAUACCGGAUAAUAUAUUGAACCGCAUGGUUCAAUAGUGAAAGACGGUUUUGCUGUCACUUAUAGAUGGAUCCGCGCCGCAUUAGCUAGUUGGUAAGGUAACGGCUUACCAAGGCAACGAUGCGUAGCCGACCUGAGAGGGUGAUCGGCCACACUGGAACGGAGACACGGUCCAGACUCCUACGGGAGGCAGCAGUAGGGAAUCUUCCGCAAAGGGCGAAAGCCUUACGGAGCAACGCCGCGUGAGUGAUGAAGGUCUUCGGAUCGUAAAACUCUGUUAUUAGGGAAGAACAAAUGUGUAAGUAACUAUGCACGUCUUGACGGUACCUAAUCAGAAAGCCACGGCUAACUACGUG
Molecule: ribosomal RNA, 497 nt
Filed under: uncultured bacterium
Lineage: Bacteria
Description: partial 16S ribosomal RNA
Rfam family: Bacterial small subunit ribosomal RNA
Source: RNAcentral